CCUACGGGGGUCAGCAGUAGGGAAUCUUUCACAAUGGGCGAAAGCCUGAUGGAGCAACGCCGCGUGCAGGAUGAAGGCCUUCGGGUUGUAAACUGCUUUUAUAAGCGAGAAAUAUGAUGGUAACUUAUGAAUAAGGAUCGGCUAACUACGUGCCAGCAGCCGCGGUCAUACGUAGGAUCCGAGCAUUAUCCGGAGUGACUGGGUGUAAAGAGUUGCGUAGGUGGCAUAAUAAGUAGCUAGUGAAAUCUGGUGGCUCAACCAUUCAGACUAUUAGCUAAACUGUGAAGCUCGAGACCGUUAGGGGUAACUGGAAUGUCUAGUGUAGGAGUGAAAUCCGUAGAUAUUAGAAGGAACACCAAUAGCGUAGGCAGGUUGCUGGGACGGUUCUGACACUAAGGCACGAAAGCGUAGGGAGCAAACGGGAUUAGAUACCCCGGUAGUC
This 442-nucleotide ribosomal RNA is filed under the name uncultured bacterium. RNAcentral's name for it is "partial 16S ribosomal RNA". It matches the Rfam family "Bacterial small subunit ribosomal RNA", at positions 338 to 795 of the family's 1533-position model. The record is from RNAcentral.